AAAAUAAUUGUUUCGUACUGAUUACGCGUGACCAAUAAUAAUAAACGAUAUGAUAAAUGAUAAUCGUUCGAUAGUAUCCGUUUGGUCAACAGCCUGGUAAAGAGUACUUUAAUCAUAGAUUUAUAUCAUAUCAUGGCUUUUAUAGUCUAUUAAACAGAAAUUAGCGGCUGCCUGUAAACUUGUGAACCGCUCAAAAGACUUGUCCUUAUCUUACGUUCAGCCGUUUCUAAAGGUCAACAGGUCCAUUGAUUACACGACCGUACAAUCACAUAAAAGUCAAUACUUUCCAAACAUUUCUGUUCGACCCGCAUUUAAACAUUCUUAAUAUAUUCGAACAUCAUAUACAUCUAUUUUCGAACUGAUUUUAUUGCCCCUGGGUUUGUCCGUAAACCAAAAUAGUAGUAAACACUAAACAACGAUUGUCAUUGUUAGUACUAGAUUCCUCAAAUGCUCUUGCACUUCGUCGGCUCAUCAAAAAUGGAAAACUACAAGUGUUGCUCACUGUCUGUUAUUGACGUCUAUGACAUCGCGCAAGACAUCGGCCGCGAGUUUGAAUCCAUCAUAGACGCUUACGGUACAGAUGCCAUUACAGGUCUAAUGCCUAAGGUAGUCACUGCCCUAGAACAGAUGGAAAUGUUAGCUAUGAAGAACGAACGUGAGAACACUACAGUGGACGAUUUACGGUCAACAAUACAACAACUUGAAAUGGAUAAACAGGAACGAUCUGAAGAUAGGAUUAAAUAUGAAAAGGAAAUGGAACAAAUUGAAGAUAAAUGGCGUGAAGACUAUAAUGAAUUGUUGGAUACAGUUUCUAGACUUCAAGAUGAUAACCGUAAAUUGACAGAGUCCUUACAAGCCGCUGAAAAGGAUAAGAUUUAUGACCAAAAAUCUCAAGUUUUAAGUCCUGAUGUUGAUACUGUAGCUCUUCAACGUUUGCGCCAUACUGUUGAUCAUAUGCGUGAUAAUAUUAGAAGCUAUGAACAUCAAUUAAAUUCAAAAAGCAAUGAAGUUGAUUCUUUGACUGUUCAAAUGGAAAGACUGCAAACUACUUUAAAAGAUUUACGGCGUAAACAUCGUUUCGUUCAGACACAAUGUCGUUCUUUGGUUGAAGAAAGAGCUGAUAUUCUUUCUCAACUACAGAAGCAGCAAAAGGAGUUUAUUUCACUUAGACAAAGGUUUGGAAUGGCUCAAAAAGAAAACGAAGAUCUCUCGAAGUAUAGGGAUGAUGUGCCAGAUUUAAAAAACAAAGCCAUAUAUGAUUUAGAUGAUCCAGAUAGACCAAAAUUUACGACUAAUGAAUUGAAAGAUAUUUUAACUGAACGUAAUGAAUUAAAAACUCGUGUCAAUGAACUUGAAGAUGAACUCUCACAAUAUAGACCAGUAGAACAGUUGACUGAAUCGCACGAGAUCAAAUCCAAGAAACGCGGAUACGAAGAAUUAUCUUACGACAAUGCACUAGAACAGUCAGUCACAGGAAAAUUUUUAACACCCCUCCGAUCGAUAAGGAAGACACGCAAGUGUCUGUCAUCACCUCAGAAAGUCCACCAGAUGGAACAUCCCCAUGCAGGUAAGUUUCAAAUAUAUUACACAUGGUUGCAUACUGUUGAUAACCCUUUCAUAAUAACUUAUAAUGACUUAUAAGCAAUGAAACGCUUACAUGGUCUUUUAUGAGUUGCUCUUUUAUAAUUAUUGCUGUUGUAAAAUAUUUUCAUUCCGCUAUUAAUGCACGGCAGUAGAUCAUUAAAUAAUUUUAUUUUCUUAAAGACUAAAUCAACUACUACAAACUCAACUACAAUAAAAACGAAACUUAUUGACUGUAUAAAAACUGAAAAACCAUUUCAACCUACAAAAGAAAGCUAAUGUUUACAUAAAAAUUGUUUCAUAUUGUCAAAUCUGAUGAUGAACAGGAAGAAGGCCCUGUUCAAGGACCUUUACCCUUAGAACCAGAUGAUGCACCAUGGAAACGAUCAGAGUCUGG
Molecule: unclassified non-coding RNA, 1978 nt
Filed under: Sipha flava (yellow sugarcane aphid)
Lineage: Eukaryota; Metazoa; Arthropoda; Insecta; Hemiptera; Aphididae
Description: rILP-like protein homolog, transcript variant X2
Source: RNAcentral